GAUGAAGAACGUAGCGAAAUGCGAUAAGUAGUGUGAAUUGCAGAAUUCAGUGAAUCAUCGAAUCUUUGAACGCACAUUGCGCCCCUUGGUAUCCCAUGGGGCAUGCCUGUUCGAGCGUCAUUUGUACCCUCAAGCUUUGCUUGGUGUUGGGCGUCUUGUCGUAUUACGACUCGCCUUAAAUACAUUGGCAGCCGGCACUUUGGCCUAGGAGCGCAGCACAUUUUGCGAUCGUAGCCCGUUGUACUGGCGUCCAUCAAGAACAUUUACCACGUUUGACCUCGGAUCAGGUAGGGAUACCCGCUGAACUUAAGCAUAUCAAUAAGCGGAGGA
Molecule: unclassified non-coding RNA, 330 nt
Filed under: soil metagenome
Description: partial contains 5.8S ribosomal RNA, internal transcribed spacer 2, and large subunit ribosomal RNA
Rfam family: 5.8S ribosomal RNA (bases 1-120)
Source: RNAcentral